Molecule: transfer RNA, 65 nt
Filed under: Bacillus atticus
Lineage: Eukaryota; Metazoa; Arthropoda; Insecta; Phasmatodea; Bacillidae
Description: tRNA-Cys
Source: RNAcentral
GGUCUUAUAUUCAUUUAUGAUAUUAAAUUGCAAAUUUAAAGGUGUAAUUUUAUUUACUAAGGCUU